CCCUUAGAUGUUCUGGGCCGCACGCGCGCUACACUGAUGCAUUCAACGAGUUUUUCCUGGUCCGAGAGGAAUGGGUAACCUUUUGAAAGUGCAUCGUGCUAGGGAUAGACUAUUGCAAUUAUUGGUCUUCAACGAGGAAUUCCUAGUAGACGUAGUUCAUCAGACUGCAUCGAUUACGUCCCUGCCCUUUGUACACACCGCCCGUCGCUCCUACCGAUUGGAUGAUCCGGUGAAUAAUUCGGACUGCAGCACUGCUUGGUCUCCAGGCUUUGCAGCGGAAAGUUUAGUGAACCUUAUCACUUAGAGGAAGGAGAAGUCGUAACA
RNAcentral lists this ribosomal RNA (324 nucleotides) under uncultured eukaryote. Its description in RNAcentral is "partial 18S ribosomal RNA". It matches the Rfam family "Eukaryotic small subunit ribosomal RNA", at positions 1470 to 1796 of the family's 1831-position model. The record is from RNAcentral.